GGUGCUAACGUCCGUCGUGGAGAGGGAAACAACCCAGACCGCCAGCUAAGGUCCCAAAUUAUAGCUAAGUGGGAAACGAUGUGGGAAGGCUUAGACAGCUAGGAUGUUGGCUUAGAAGCAGCCAUCAUUUAAAGAAAGCGUAAUAGCUCACUAGUCGAGUCGGCCUGCGCGGAAGAUGUAACGGGGCUAAGCUAUAAACCGAAGCUGCGGCAAUGAAGUUUACUUCAUUGGGUAGGGGAGCGUUCUGUAAGCCGUUGAAGGUGUGUUGUAAAGCAUGCUGGAGGUAU
This 287-nucleotide ribosomal RNA is filed under the name Vibrio parahaemolyticus. RNAcentral's name for it is "partial 23S ribosomal RNA". It matches the Rfam family "Bacterial large subunit ribosomal RNA", at positions 994 to 1282 of the family's 2925-position model. The record is from RNAcentral. Lineage: Bacteria; Pseudomonadati; Pseudomonadota; Gammaproteobacteria; Vibrionales; Vibrionaceae.